CCCUUAGAUGUCCUGGGCCGCACGCGCGCUACACUGACGGAGCCAGCGAGCGUGUCCUUCGCCGAAAGGUGCGGGUAAUCUUGGCAGCCUCCGUCGUGCUGGGGAUAGAUGGUUGCAAUUAUUGAUCAUGAACGAGGAAUUCCCAGUAAGUGCAAGUCAUAAGCUUGCGCUGACUACGUCCCUGCCCUUUGUACACACCGCCCGUCGCUACUACCGAUUGAAUGAUUUAGUGAGGACUUCGGACUGGGACCGAUGCGGCUUUCGGGCUGCGUCGGUAUUCUGGAAAGAUGUCCAAACUGUAUCAUUUAGAGGAAGUAAAAGUCGUAACA
Molecule: ribosomal RNA, 329 nt
Filed under: uncultured eukaryote
Lineage: Eukaryota
Description: partial 18S ribosomal RNA
Rfam family: Eukaryotic small subunit ribosomal RNA
Source: RNAcentral